UACGUAGGGUGCGAGCGUUGUCCGGAAUUAUUGGGCGUAAAGAGCUCGUAGGCGGUUUGUCGCGUCUGCUGUGAAAACCCGAGGCUCAACCUCGGGCCUGCAGUGGGUACGGGCAGACUAGAGUGCGGUAGGGGAGAUUGGAAUUCCUGGUGUAGCGGUGAAAUGCGCAGAUAUCAGGAGGAACACCGGUGGCGAAGGCGGGUCUCUGGGCCGAUACUGACGCUGAGGAGCGAAAGCGUGGGGAGCGAACAGG
RNAcentral lists this ribosomal RNA (253 nucleotides) under uncultured bacterium. Its description in RNAcentral is "partial 16S ribosomal RNA". It matches the Rfam family "Bacterial small subunit ribosomal RNA", at positions 524 to 776 of the family's 1533-position model. The record is from RNAcentral.